RNAcentral lists this ribosomal RNA (497 nucleotides) under Lactococcus lactis. RNAcentral describes it as "bacterial LSU rRNA". It matches the Rfam family "Bacterial large subunit ribosomal RNA", at positions 1273 to 1783 of the family's 2925-position model. Lineage: Bacteria; Bacillati; Bacillota; Bacilli; Lactobacillales; Streptococcaceae. The record is from RNAcentral.
CUGGAGCGUUAAGAAGUGAGAAUGCCGGUAUGAGUAGCGCAAGAUAAGUGAGAAUCUUAUCCACCGUAAGACUAAGGUUUCCAGGGGAAGGCUCGUCCGCCCUGGGUUAGUCGGGACCUAAGGCGAGGCCGAAAGGCGUAGUCGAUGGACAACUGGUUGAUAUUCCAGUACUAGAUAUGAUCGUGAUGGAGGGACGCAGUAGGCUAAGAGAUGCCAGUUAAUGGAUUCUGGUCUAAGCAGUGAGGUGUAAGAUGUGUCAAAUGCAUUUCUCUCUAACAUUGAGCUGUGAUGGGGAAGCAACUACGGUUGCGAACUCUCUGAUGUCACACUGCCAAGAAAAGCUUCUAGCGUAAAGUCAUAUCUACCCGUACCGCAAACCGACACAGGUAGUCGAGGCGAGUAGCCUCAGGUGAUCGAGAGAACUCUCGUUAAGGAACUCGGCAAAAUAGCCCCGUAACUUCGGGAGAAGGGGUGCUGGUGUAAAAGCCAGCCGCAGU